UUUUUAUGAGAGUUUGAUCCUGGCUCAGGACGAACGCUGGCGGCGUGCCUAAUACAUGCAAGUAGAACGCUGAAGUCUGGUGCUUGCACUAGACGGAUGAGUUGCGAACGGGUGAGUAACGCGUAGG
RNAcentral lists this ribosomal RNA (127 nucleotides) under Streptococcus suis. Its description in RNAcentral is "partial 16S ribosomal RNA". It matches the Rfam family "Bacterial small subunit ribosomal RNA", at positions 1 to 121 of the family's 1533-position model. The record is from RNAcentral. Lineage: Bacteria; Bacillati; Bacillota; Bacilli; Lactobacillales; Streptococcaceae.